UACGUAGUGUGCGAGCGUUAAUCGGAAUUACUGGGCGUAAAGCGUGCGCAGGCGGAUUGUUAAGCAAGAUGUGAAAUCCCCGGGCUCAACCUGGGAAUGGCGAUGGAUACUGGCGCGCUAGAGUGAGGUAGAGGAGAGUGGAAUUCCCGGUGUAGCAGUGAAAUGCGUAGAGAUCGGGAGGAACAUCAGUUGCGAAGGCGGCUCUCUGGACCAUCACUGACACUGAGGCACGAAAGCGUGGGGAGCAAACAGG
Molecule: ribosomal RNA, 253 nt
Filed under: uncultured bacterium
Lineage: Bacteria
Description: partial 16S ribosomal RNA
Rfam family: Bacterial small subunit ribosomal RNA
Source: RNAcentral